This 253-nucleotide ribosomal RNA is filed under the name uncultured prokaryote. RNAcentral's name for it is "partial 16S ribosomal RNA". It matches the Rfam family "Bacterial small subunit ribosomal RNA", at positions 525 to 777 of the family's 1533-position model. The record is from RNAcentral.
ACGUAGGGUGCAAGCGUUAAUCGGAAUUACUGGGCGUAAAGCGUGCGCAGGCGGUUAUGUAAGACAGAUGUGAAAUCCCCGGGCUCAACCUGGGAACUGCAUUUGUGACUGCAUAGCUUGAGUGCGGCAGAGGGGGAUGGAAUUCCGCGUGUAGCAGUGAAAUGCGUAGAUAUGCGGAGGAACACCGAUGGCGAAGGCAGGUCUCUGGGCUGACACUGACGCUCAUGCACGAAAGCGUGGGGAGCAAACAGGA